This 630-nucleotide ribosomal RNA is filed under the name Copiula derongo. RNAcentral describes it as "partial 12S ribosomal RNA". The stretch from base 1 to 465 matches the Rfam family "Bacterial small subunit ribosomal RNA", at positions 871 to 1533 of the family's 1533-position model. The record is from RNAcentral. Lineage: Eukaryota; Metazoa; Chordata; Amphibia; Anura; Microhylidae.
GCCAGGAAAUUACGAGCCCAAGCUUAAAACCCAAAGGACUUGACGGUGCCUCACCUACCUAGAGGAGCCUGUUCUAUAAUCGAUUCUCCCCGAUCCACCUCACCACUUCUUGAACAUCAGCCUGUAUACCUCCGUCGCAAGCCUACCAUGUGAACGUACGCAGUGGGCCUCAAGAUUUAUACAUCUACACGUCAGGUCAAGGCGCAGCCUACGAAGCGGGAAGAAAUGGGCUACAAUCUCUAUACUAGAACAAACAGAGGACUACAUGCAACAUAGUCACCAAGGCGGAUUUAGCAGUAAAAAGAAAAUAGAGAGUUCUUUUUAAUCAAGCCCUGAGGCGCGUACACACCGCCCGUCACCCUCUUCAAAUGACAAAACAACGUUACUAACACUUUCUCGUCCCACAGAAGAGGCAAGUCGUAACACGGUAAGCGUACUGGAAAGUGCGCUUGGAAUAACAAAAUAUAGCUUAACAAAAGUACCUUGCUUACACCGAGGACAUGUCUGUAAAAACCUGACUAUUUUGAGCCAAAAACCUAGCCUUAAUAACCCAAAUGUUAUAACAACCAAAAAAAGACAUAAUAAAACAUUUUCUUAACUCAGUAAAGGCGAUUAAAAAGUUAAUAAGAG